RNAcentral lists this ribosomal RNA (616 nucleotides) under Helicotylenchus dihystera. Its description in RNAcentral is "eukaryotic LSU rRNA". The stretch from base 379 to 616 matches the Rfam family "Eukaryotic large subunit ribosomal RNA", at positions 665 to 875 of the family's 3401-position model. The record is from RNAcentral. Lineage: Eukaryota; Metazoa; Nematoda; Chromadorea; Rhabditida; Hoplolaimidae.
GAGCUGGAGUAUCUGGCCUGCAUUCAGCCGCUGCGCGUCGGGUUCCGGUUUGCCGUACUCCAGAUUGGGAAGGUGGCUGGGCUGCUGGCGUGCUGGUGGUGCAUUUGCAGGUGGAGUGCGCCGAGGCGCUCGGUUCAGCGGCAUAAGCUCGGCUUUGAGGCCAGUCGCGCAAGCGGUCUGGUACCCGGGUCGGGGGAGUGUUGUUUGGGCUGGGUGUUCGCUGGGGCACAGGUUUCGGGCCCGGGUGGGUGCCGAGCUGGCGGUCGGCGGCGGUCGCGUGCGACACGUGCCAGCAGUCAGUUCGGUCCUGCUCGAGCUCUCUCGUGUCCGGCCUCGGUGUAAAAGCCGGUCAUCUGUUCGACCCGUCUUGAAACACGGACCAAGGAGUUUAGCGUGUGCGCGAGUCAUUGGGUGUUGAAAACCCAGAGGCGUAAUGAAAGUGAAGGUCUGCCUUGUGCAGCUGAUGUGUGAUCCUGGGCGCUGCGGCGCCCGGGCGCAACAUAGUCCCGUCCCGACUGCAUGCAGUUGGGCGGAGACAGAGCGUACGCGCUGAGACCCGAAAGAUGGUGAACUAUUCCUGAGCAGGAUGAAGCCAGAGGAAACUCUGGUGGAAGUC